This is a long non-coding RNA of Triticum dicoccoides, 4437 nucleotides long. RefSeq lists it as uncharacterized. The record is from RefSeq and is a predicted model, not a curated record. The transcript is spliced from 5 exons. NCBI's taxonomy places the organism in Eukaryota, Viridiplantae, Streptophyta, Magnoliopsida, Poales, Poaceae.
GCUCCGCACCCAAUCCCCCGUCUCCCCAGGCCCCAGCCCCCACCGGACAAACCCUAGCCUCACAUCCCGCACUCCUCCCUCCUCCUCCUUCCUCGUUAGCCGCCGCCGCCGCCGUUCUGCCUCCCUCCUUUCUGUCCUACAACCAUGCCGUCAGGAGGAAGCCGCCGUCCGUGGUGCCAUACCGCUGCUGGGGUGCUGCGCACGCUUUGUUCCCCACAGCCCCUCCCUCAUCCUCGGUCGUCACCGCCGUUGCCUGCUACUCCCCUCCACCACCGUUGCUGCUUCUGGGUCGAAUCUGGCGUUGGUGGGUCGAAGCUCGAGCUAGAGGCCGAGAUGGGGAAGGUCAAAAAAGGAGACCGGAUGGAGGUGCUCGAGGCCGAGGAAGCUGGAGAUGCACAACUAGCUUCACUGGGCAUCCGGUGGUUGGAGCACGGGGCAAUGCUCCAGUUGCGAUGGGGUGGAGCUACGCAGGAGGGGAAGGAGGCUCGCGACAGGGAGCCGGGCCAGGGAGGAGGAAAAGUCUGUGUUGCCCCGUGUUUUUUCUCUUUGUAUUUUUCUCCUACCAUGCAUUUGUUUGUUGCUAGAGUGGAUCCAUGCCACCAAAUUCUUGGAUAAAUAAUGAGUGCCAAGAUAUGUAUGCUGACAAGUGAGUUCAUUAUUUGGAAAAAUAUAAUCAUUAUAUAUGCAUUGCUAACAAUUUUUAUGUUUGAAGCAACCAAUUUUGUGAAAAGAGUAGAGAGAAAGAUACAUGUGCAAUUUCCUUGAUGUUACAGCAGAUGGAUACUCGAUCUUUAAACAUAAGCACAGAUGAGUAGGUAAAAAUUCGGGGAAAGACCAAUGAAAUAACCCUAUAAUUAACCUUAUUCAGUUUAUGAACAUAUAUGUAUGCUACAGAGCAUGAAAUUGGGAAAAUACAAAUAUGAUUGGUGGUUGGUUCACCAUUCAAAAAUUUGAUCCACCAAUUGUGUCUCAGUGAUUUCUACUUGAGCUAAAACCAUGCCAAUAAUUUUGGAAUGAUGGAGUACUUAUUUGUUGUGUAUUUGAUGGUUUGAUAUAAAAAACAUGAAGGUUAAAUCGGGCAUGGUUUUGAUAUAGUUUGUUACAAGAUAUUACAUUGGCUUUCUGGUUUGGAAAUACUUAUAGUCGUUUUCUUCUUGUCAAGGAGAUGUUCAUGUCUAGCUAGCUUCCUAUAAAGGGGAUUUUUUUCUUUUAGUUCACCAGAUGCUGAGGUCUAGCUAGGCUUCCAUGUAGAAAUGUUGUUGUCUUUGAAAGUUUGUUGGGUGCCUCAGCUAAGUUUCUGCAAAGUGGAUUUUUGUUUGUUACUGCCCAGGAGAUGCUCUUGGAUCUAGCUAUAUUCCUAGAAGUUUUUUUGUUGGCUUUCUUGGUUUUUUUGGUACCUUGAUCUUUCCUCGUCGAGAAGGAAUAAAUUUGUCCUGGAGUUCCUUUCCUCUUUAUAGAGGAGUCUUUUAUUCCUUUGCUUGAUCUGGCGCCUGGCAUGGGCAUCCGUUUCAAGUUGGGACGGCAUACAAUCCAUGCAAGUGUAUGUAGUUGUUGUAUGUAUGGCAGAUACAUCAUCUUGCCAAUUAGUCCCCACUAAAAUUAAUUUAUCUCUCCACCUUUUUGGCUCAUGGAUAUCGAUGUGAGUACUAUAGGUAAAUAACUGCUAGAGAUUACCACCCUCGAGUAGGUUUCUCUAAACAGACAAUAGAUGACGGUAUUUCUACUACUGCAGGUUUUUCCAUGGUUGUAAAUGGCAUAUUGGCGUUAUCAGGAGUUGUGGUUCUGGAUUUGUCCGCUGCUCUAUAGAUCUAUUAUUUAAAGAACUGAUGAUAUACAGUGAGUUACCUUGCACCAUUAUUUGGCCUUUCAAGCGCUUGAUUUGAAUUUUUUAAUGUAUUCAAAGUGUCCCUACUUCCUAACAAGCAACCCAUUUGUCAUAUGUAUGUGUUGUCAUCACAAAGUUGUUUUAUGCCCACCCGAAAAGCGCUCACCCAACCAAUCACGUGGAGGUGUGCUUUGCAUUAUUAUCUUUAAUUGAAGUUCUAUUGUGUUGUCAUCAUAUUCAAAACUAUAGUUCUUUACUUGCAGCAUCUUGAAGUGAGCAAUAUUUUGAUGCUUAUUUCCUGAUGAUUUAAGAAGUUUCGUGCACUACCAAACUUAAUUUGAAAACACUAGCUUGUUUUGUAGGAAUUGUCUUUCUUUGCUUCGAACUUGUGAUUUAUGGCUGAUGUCAACUCCAGCUUUUUAGGUGCUUGUCAAGUAUGGGUGGAAAGCUUGACAAUUCGUUUUUAUCUCUAUGAUCUCCUCAUGACCACAACCAUAGUGCAGGAUGCUCCUGCCCAAGUUGUCAUUUAUCUUUGGGUAUUCCUUAAUGUUGGGGCUACUACAUAUCCAGAUCACUAGAUGAUACAAAGGUGUCUUCCCUUCCUUUGUUUAUAUUCCUUUAUGUUGGGGCUGGUGUUAGGUUUCACUGGAUCAAAUUUUAGCUGUUGUUUCUUAUGUUCUAGAGAAGCUAGAGGAGUAAUUAGUGUUCUCUGUUUUUCUAAUGAGUAUAUGUGUGGAACUAUGGGUGCAAACAAAUAGUAAAGGAGCAAUUAACUUUCUCUCUUUUUUGCAAGUAUAUGUGGAUGCGCAUAAAGUGUUGGUUGUCUGCUUAUAUCAAGUAUGGUCUGAUAUUUUGGUCAUAUCAGCCCCAGUAUUGAGCAUACCGACUAAUAUUCUGGUCAUAUUAGCCCCAAUAUUGAGCAUACCAGCUGAUAUUCUACUCAUAUCACACUUUCUACAGUCUACACCAAAUCUGCGAGCACGAUAUCUGAUAUUUGAAUCUUGAAAUUACCAUUAGAAAGGCAAAGAGAUCUUGUAGAAAAAUAGGUUACAUGCUCAGGUAUAUCAUAUAUGGAGAAAAGGCACCUAUCAGCUGUAUUGGUUCUUUCGUAUUUUUGUGCAGUCCUUCUAUUAAUUUUUCUAACUUUCUGGAUUUAUAUUUGAGCAAGAUAAAUAUAUUCCAUCUCUAUCCCAGUACUGAAUCGAAGCUUCAUCAAAUCUAUCUGGGCGUUCAUCGUGUAAUACAAUGUUGAGAUUGAGAACAUUUUCAGAGGGGAACUUAAGAACUAGGAGGGUGCAGAUAAGUAAGAGUUGUUGGCAACAGCAACCUACACAUGUGGAAACAGUGGCUAUGGCGGUUUAAAGGGAAGUUGUGGCUGCUAGACAGCAACUCACAACUUAGUGGCUGCUCAAAGGACAUAUAAUCUAUUUCUUCUUGGAGCUAUCUACUAUAAUAUUAUGACUCGGUGCUAGCUGAAGCUUCUAUUUUCUCGCCUUUUGUGGUGGCGAUUAUUCCUUGGACUGCAGUAAUUCCAUUUGCUACUCCUCAUGUUGCAACCUUUUCCCGUAGAAUCAAAAGGAAUUAGAUGGAAGAAAUUGCAGGAGCUUGCUAUUACUAGAGAAGGAAUGGUAUUCUCGGCUGACAUUCAAAAGCAGUCAAGAUGGUGAAGUUUAGAACGGAGGAGCUCCAUGGAAUUAUGGAUAAAAAAUAUCCAUAACAUGUCUGUCAUUGCUCAUGUCGACCAUGGUAUGUGACGGAGCAGUGACAGUUGUCUCUAAUUGUCAAGUUUAUACGGUAGAAUCUUCUUGAUUGAUGAUUUUAUAGCCUUCUCUUAGUUGUACUGUAUUAAUUCUUAAAACUGGAUCAUUUAAAAUUAGUUAGAUUUAAUGAGUUGUUUCACUGUUUUCAAAUAAGUAGUUUAAGCCCUUAUUGUGUCCCGGAGCUUAUUCUUUCUGCCUUUUUAUGAUUGAUAUAUGCUCUAACAAGCUUAAAUGUAACUAUUGGCAUAUAAUCUCAUGGCUCAAAAUCUUAGUUGUUGAAUGUAUUAAAAUUUAUAAGAUAUGGAGUUUGCACUAUAUUUCAUCCUGCAGUAUUCCCAGUAACUGAAUAUUAAGAGCACCGACGAUCCCAGGUUGUACAUUCGGGAAAUGCUUUUAUUUUGCAGGCCAGUUUUACAUUUACUUCUUCGAUAAGGAGAUGACCAUGAAUAGAGUAUCAUGUUAUUUGCCUUGGCAUUACUGAUGUUGUGUUCAGAUUACUGAAAGAAGGAUUGGUACCCACAAAGGAGUGAAGGGUAGAAAAUAUGUCCAUUGUCAUUGAAUUGGUGGGAUUGUCCCCAAGUUAGUGCUGCAGAUGUUUCUAUUUUAGAGCAAGAAGCCAAAUCAUGCUGUUCGUAAAUCUUGAAAAACUUGUUUGUUGUCACGUCUAUAUCUGUUGUAAACGUUUGUUCGUGAUGUGGUACUUGUCAAUCUUGGUCUGCCCUUCCUUUUCAAGUUUGCCUUAAAUUUCAGCAGACCAACAAGUCCUUGUGUCUUCAAUUGGUUUCUCAUUUCAUGUUUGCACUUGUAUUAUAGUAGAACAACAUGUCAUAAACAUGGCGUUCGGCAUUGUUU